This 69-nucleotide transfer RNA is filed under the name Ictidomys tridecemlineatus (thirteen-lined ground squirrel). Its description in RNAcentral is "Spermophilus tridecemlineatus (thirteen-lined ground squirrel) tRNA". It matches the Rfam family "tRNA". From Rfam's summary of the family: Transfer RNA (tRNA) molecules are approximately 80 nucleotides in length. Their secondary structure includes four short double-helical elements and three loops (D, anti-codon, and T loops). Further hydrogen bonds mediate the characteristic L-shaped molecular structure. tRNAs have two regions of fundamental functional importance: the anti-codon, which is responsible for specific mRNA codon recognition, and the 3' end, to which the tRNAs corresponding amino acid is attached (by aminoacyl-tRNA synthetases). tRNAs cope with the degeneracy of the genetic code in two manners: having more than one tRNA (with a specific anti-codon) for a particular amino acid; and 'wobble' base-pairing, i.e. permitting non-standard base-pairing at the 3rd anti-codon position. Lineage: Eukaryota; Metazoa; Chordata; Mammalia; Rodentia; Sciuridae. The record is from Rfam by way of RNAcentral.
GGGAUUGUGGCUCAGUGGUAGAGUGCUCACCUAGCAUGUGGGAGGCACUGGGUUCAAUUCUCAGCACCA